UUGAAAAAGCUGAACUUCAAAUCUCAAAACCAUUCUAAAACACUUUUUAAAAUCUCUUGUAAAUCAC
RNAcentral lists this small RNA (67 nucleotides) under Arabidopsis thaliana (thale cress). RNAcentral's name for it is "ATSL041810". Lineage: Eukaryota; Viridiplantae; Streptophyta; Magnoliopsida; Brassicales; Brassicaceae. The record is from RNAcentral.